RNAcentral lists this ribosomal RNA (547 nucleotides) under uncultured archaeon. RNAcentral's name for it is "bacterial SSU rRNA". It matches the Rfam family "Archaeal small subunit ribosomal RNA", at positions 325 to 873 of the family's 1478-position model. The record is from RNAcentral.
ACGGGGUGCAGCAGGCGCGAAAACUUCACACUGUGCGAAAGCGCGAUGAGGGAAUCCCAAGUGCUUGCUCGUAAGAGUAAGCUGUUUUUAUGUUUAAAACGCAUAGAGAGUAAGAGCUGGGUAAGACGGGUGCCAGCCGCCGCGGUAAUACCUGCAGCUCGAGUGGUGGCCGCUAUUAUUGGGCCUAAAACGUCCGUAGCCGGUUUAAUAAAUGCCUGGGUAAAUCGUGUAGCUCAACUAUACGAAUUCCAGGUAGACUGUUAAACUUGGGACUGGGAGAAGCUAGAGGUACUCCUGGGGUAGAGGUGAAAUUCUGUAAUCCUAGGGGGACCACCAGUGGCGAAGGCGUCUAGCUAGAACGGGUCUGACGGUGAGGGACGAAGCCCUGGGGCGCAAACCGGAUUAGAUACCCGGGUAGUCCAGGGUGUAAACGCUGCUUGCUUGAUGUUAGUCGGGCUCCGAGCCCGAUUAGUGUCGGAGAGAAGUUGUUAAGCAAGCUGCCUGGGAAGUACGGCCGCAAGACUGAAACUUAAAGGAAUUGGCGGGG